UAGGGAAUCUUCCGCAAUGGACGAAAGUCUGACGGAGCAACGCCGCGUGAGUGAAGAAGGAUUUCGGUUCGUAAAACUCUGUUGUUAGGGAAGAAAAAAUGUAUAGUAACUAUAUACAAAAGAGACGGUACCUAACCAGAAAGCCACGGCUAACUACGUGCCAGCAGCCGCGGUAAUACGUAGGUGGCAAGCGUUGUCCGGAAUUAUUGGGCGUAAAGCGCGCGCAGGUGGUUUAGAAAGUCUGAUGUGAAAGCCCACGGCUCAACCGUGGAGGGUCAUUGGAAACUAAUAAACUUGAGUGCAGGAGAGAAAAGUGGAAUUCCUAGUGUAGCGGUGAAAUGCGUAGAGAUUAGGAGGAACACCGGUGGCGAAAGCGGCUUUUUGGCCUGCAACUGACACUGAGGCGCGAAAGCGUGGGGAGCAAACAGGA
Molecule: ribosomal RNA, 430 nt
Filed under: Verrucomicrobiota bacterium
Lineage: Bacteria; Pseudomonadati; Verrucomicrobiota
Description: Verrucomicrobia bacterium partial 16S ribosomal RNA
Rfam family: Bacterial small subunit ribosomal RNA
Source: RNAcentral